GGGACACGUGGUAUCCUGUCUGAAUAUGGGGGGACCAUCCUCCAAGGCUAAAUACUCCUGACUGACCGAUAGUGAACCAGUACCGUGAGGGAAAGGCGAAAAGAACCCCGGCGAGGGGAGUGAAAAAGAACCUGAAACCGUGUACGUACAAGCAGUGGGAGCACGCUUAGGCGUGUGACUGCGUACCUUUUGUAUAAUGGGUCAGCGACUUAUAUUCUGUAGCAAGGUUAACCGAAUAGGGGAGCCGAAGGGAAACCGAGUCUUAACUGGGCGUUAAGUUGCAGGGUAUAGACCCGAAACCCGGUGAUCUAGCCAUGGGCAGGUUGAAGGUUGGGUAACACUAACUGGAGGACCGAACCGACUAAUGUUGAAAAAUUAGCGGAUGACUUGUGGCUGGGGGUGAAAGGCCAAUCAAACCGGGAGAUAGCUGGUUCUCCCCGAAAGCUAUUUAGGUAGCGCCUCGUGAAUUCAUCUCCGGGGGUAGAGCACUGUUUC
This 495-nucleotide ribosomal RNA is filed under the name Escherichia coli. RNAcentral describes it as "partial 23S ribosomal RNA". It matches the Rfam family "Bacterial large subunit ribosomal RNA", at positions 419 to 916 of the family's 2925-position model. The record is from RNAcentral. Lineage: Bacteria; Pseudomonadati; Pseudomonadota; Gammaproteobacteria; Enterobacterales; Enterobacteriaceae.